UGGAGAGUUUGAUCCUGGCUCAGGACGAACGCUGGCGGCGUGCCUAAUACAUGCAAGUCGUACGCUUCUUUUUCCACCGGAGCUUGCUCCACCGGAAAAAGAAGAGUGGCGAACGGGUGAGUAACACGUGGGUAACCUGCCCAUCAGAAGGGGAUAACACUUGGAAACAGGUGCUAAUACCGUAUAACAAUCGAAACCGCAUGGUUUUGAUUUGAAAGGCGCUUUMGGGUGUCGCUGAUGGAUGGACCCGCGGUGCAUUAGCUAGUUGGUGAGGUAACGGCUCACCAAGGCCACGAUGCAUAGCCGACCUGAGAGGGUGAUCGGCCACAUUGGGACUGAGACACGGCCCAAACUCCUACGGGAGGCAGCAGUAGGGAAUCUUCGGCAAUGGACGAAAGUCUGACCGAGCAACGCCGCGUGAGUGAAGAAGGUUUUCGGAUCGUAAAACUCUGUUGUUAGAGAAGAAYAAGGAUGAGAGUAACUGUUCAUCCCUUGACGGUAUCUAACCAGAAAGCCACGGCUAACUACGUGCCAGCAGCCGCGGUA
RNAcentral lists this ribosomal RNA (546 nucleotides) under Enterococcus durans. RNAcentral describes it as "bacterial SSU rRNA". It matches the Rfam family "Bacterial small subunit ribosomal RNA", at positions 1 to 522 of the family's 1533-position model. Lineage: Bacteria; Bacillati; Bacillota; Bacilli; Lactobacillales; Enterococcaceae. The record is from RNAcentral.